GUUUGAUCAUGGCUCAGAUUGAACGCUGGCGGCAGGCUUAACACAUGCAAGUCGAACGGUAACAGGUUAAGCUGACGAGUGGCGAACGGGUGAGUAAUGUAUCGGAACGUGCCCAGUCGUGGGGGAUAACUGCUCGAAAGAGCAGCUAAUACCGCAUACGACCUGAGGGUGAAAGCGGGGGAUCGCAAGACCUCGCGCGAUUGGAGCGGCCGAUAUCAGAUUAGG
RNAcentral lists this ribosomal RNA (225 nucleotides) under Prorocentrum minimum. RNAcentral's name for it is "partial Bacterial small subunit ribosomal RNA". It matches the Rfam family "Bacterial small subunit ribosomal RNA", at positions 11 to 245 of the family's 1533-position model. The record is from RNAcentral. Lineage: Eukaryota; Dinophyceae; Prorocentrales; Prorocentraceae.